RNAcentral lists this long non-coding RNA (666 nucleotides) under Heterocephalus glaber (naked mole-rat). RNAcentral's name for it is "lncRNA (ENSHGLG00000050688.1)". Lineage: Eukaryota; Metazoa; Chordata; Mammalia; Rodentia; Bathyergidae. The record is from RNAcentral.
GUAGAAAGUGCCCAAGAACUGGCCGGAAGACAUUUGAGUGGAUUAUCCCCAGGUCCUUGAGUCUGCAGAGUUCCUUAAAUUUCUGAUAAAACAAUCUGCUUUCUCCCUCUGCCAGAGCAAAGCAACCUCUCCUUGCCUGUAGACAAUGUGAAGACCUACCUCAGUUCAGGGCUUCACAGUGUUUUCCUGUCUUCAAGCUCUACCUCCACCACCCCUCAAUGCCUCCACACCAACAUCCGGGAUCACAGUUUAGCACUGUCCAGAGAAAGACUAUCUUGGCCUCAGGAAAAAACCCCCAGCAGUUUCCCCAGAGAAUUGCAGAACUUGACUAAUAUCACUAGGACAAUCGGCUGGCAUGGACAUAGGAGGACCUCUAAAGACAUUGUGGCUCAUCUGGAAAGGACCUGGACGAAGAAACUGAGCUCUCAAUUCAAAGACCACACAGCUUGCUAUCUUUUUUGCACAUCUCUAAGUAAAAGAAGAGGACGCAAAAGGAUGCUUUCUUGAGUGAAUUGGUGCAGGGCCUGUGCUACAACAUAGAAGGUCCAGUGCACAGAAAGAAGCCCUCCUGGGAAAGAUAUUUCUUUAAUCCAAAUAUUUUAUAAAUUCUGUAAAGACAUUAUAACUGAGCAUUAGAAACUCUUACAUGUGACACACAGAAUUCUC